GGCUUCCCCAGCCAGGACUUCGGCUCAGACUGUGGCAUAUUCAUGUUGAUGGUAGGUCAUAACGAGCUGUAAUGCACAAAUAUUGUAUCUAGAAUAACUUUCCAACAUGGACUUUUUUAAAGUUAUCUCACAUGAUGUCUCAUAAUUUUUUUUUUUAAGUCUGCCAUGUACAUCGUUAUGGAGUCACAGUUUGACUACUCAGUUGUAAGUACUUUUCAACACGCAGUGUCAUCCUCAAGAUUGUAUUUUGUAUUGUGCACUAAAAUGAAAUACAAACAACAAUUUCAGCAUGACAUGCCUGUUUGGCGGCGAUGGUGGUGCCUGUUGCUCCUGGAGAACAAUUCUUUGAACAGGUAGACAGUUUAAGUAAACUAGAUGUCCUAAUUAACUGGAAGACAAUCAAUAUAUUGUACUUAAAGACAUAUUGUCAUUACAGUUGUGGGAAAAUCUUCGCCCACUGGACCAAAGGAUGUCAAGAGCUCAUUGCUGGAAAGCAUACUCCAGUCUUCAGUCUAAAGAGGAAGGCAGAGCAGCAGGACAUAGAGGUUAGAAAAUUGCCUUGUAAAAACAGUAUUAUCUCAGUGGGAGUCCUUCAAAAUGCACACAGUUGUAUGGAUCAACAUUGUCUCGAUGUAUUUGGUAAUUGAUGUUACUUUUCAAAUUGCCUUGUCAAGGAAACCAUGACGCAGACGGUAUCGGAUGUCCAAAGAAUGUGCAUGGCAGAUUCAAUGCAAUUCUGUGUUUACCAGACAUCGAACAACACAGGAGAGAGGUGUGUUGCAGACUCAAUUUAAUAAAUGCAAUUAUCGGGGCCUAUUCAGUGAUUUUCCAUGAAGUGACCACUUUUACAUAUAGUUUAAAUGCACGAAUCAUGCAGGAAAAUUAUUUAUACAUUCAAAUGUGCUGCAGAGGUAUAAUCAAUUGGACAGCGUGUUUGUUUAAUAUUAUGUUUGUCUCUCAUUUGAUCAGAUUGCUUUACCCUGAGGUAAACGUCAUAAAAUGGGUCCAGUGCAAGACGUGCAGGGGCUGGCUGCAUCAGGAUUGUGCUGGGAUUGAAAUGGAGCCGUUUGACUGCGGGUGCGAGGACUCCAUUGAGCAUCCUCGGUAUAACAUAAUUUAUCAAGGAAACAUAGUAUCAGUCAAAAAUACGAGGCUCAAAGGAUGAAAAAAUGAGGGCUUGCUCUUUUUCUUAUUUCUCUGCAGGAUCAAGGAUGCUGUUGACAGUUGAGGAAUUCAUGCUGUCUUUUCUAAGACACAGAUCAAGGUUGCUUUUGAAUGCACUAUCAGUUGUUAAAGCCACCGUUUCUUUUUCAGAUGAUUACAUUUUUGUCUCUUGCUCUUUGGUUUCAGACAUUACACGAUGAUCUACUGUCUGGAAAGAUCCGCUCCAACAGAAUGUUCCUUUGGAGGAAUCCCGCCACCUCACUCCGACUAAAGCAGCAUCUUAAGAUAAGGACAUUAAGUUGGAGUGAGCAGCGCGCAAGUAAAAAUUCCAUCCAUCAUGAGUAUUUUUACUCUCAGGGGUGUUACAUUUGAAAGGUGUUUACUUUCUGUGUUUUUCUUCAAUAGAUGUUCGAGCUCCUGCGGUUCAUUGAGGUGGCAACAAACAUUUCUAAAAAAAUAAAGAGAGGCGAGAUUCAUCUGCUUGAUUUCGUUUUUGACGUCAUGCUCCCAGAGGUGAGUAGAUCAAACUAUAUAGCUUGCUUUGAAAAUUGAUGAUAUUGUUAAGAGGUUGUUCUUAUUCAUUUGGAAAGCUCAAGAACAACAAUUAACCCAUACUGCAUAACUUCAAUUGUUCACAUUAUUUGACUGUUUUUCAGCUUUUGAUCAAAGCACUGAAGGAGCAUGGCAUCAACCGGUUCAGAGCAGAGCUGAUGAUGGCCUGUGGCAACGUGUUUUAAGCCCCCCACCACACCGACGGCAGUGCUGAAUUUUGUAUAUAUAUAUAUUUUUUUACUGUUC
Molecule: long non-coding RNA, 1962 nt
Filed under: Xyrichtys novacula (pearly razorfish)
Lineage: Eukaryota; Metazoa; Chordata; Actinopteri; Labriformes; Labridae
Source: RNAcentral